This is a long non-coding RNA of Meriones unguiculatus (Mongolian gerbil), 806 nucleotides long. RefSeq lists it as uncharacterized. Lineage: Eukaryota; Metazoa; Chordata; Mammalia; Rodentia; Muridae. The transcript has 3 exons. The record is from RefSeq and is a predicted model, not a curated record.
ACAGCAAAUGUUUUAACCAGCUGAGCCAUAGUACCAGAUGAAGAAGAGGUUAACUUUUUGGAAAUCAUGAUUCCUGAAGAUAUUGUCACUGAGAGAGUCACUUGAGACUGCUGUGUGCUGAUCUCUAUGAACUGGAAGGCCCACUCAGACAAUAGGAGAGUUUUCUAAAGAGCCAGGGUAAACUAAAGGAAAAAAAAAAAAAAACCCUACACAAAAUCUCACCAUUGUUGGCUAAGUGCAGUCCUCACCCCUCAUCUAGGAAACCUGUCUUUGCAGUGGAUGGAGACUAUUGUGAAAACCACAAGUUAUCAAAAUGGAGAAUUAUAGAGGCCAUCCCUAACUGAUCCAUCUAUAACACAACUCCUGCACCUUAGGCUCAGAGAUCAUGGUGAAAGAGAAGGAAGAAAGGCAGAAGAUCUGGAAAUUUGCUCUGAGACUGUGUCUCUUAGGAAUGUCGGAAGUUCACCCAGAAAAUGUCAUCAACUGUCUAAAGGAAGGAAUUUAAAACAUGAUACAGACGUGGAUCUGAUUCUUUAAAAUUGAGUAUAAAUGAUUACAUGUGGAGUAACCAAUAUUUCAGUGAUGAAGUCUGGACUUCCACACUGUUCUUGCACCAUCAGAAAGUCACGCUUUAUCUGCAGUUCCUGAGUAGAGUAAGAAGGAUUGAGCAAUGUCAUGAGUCAGGGCUUUUCCAGAGAGCCUGGGUUCAAUACUGGGAACCCAGUGGUCCACAACUGUCUGUAACUCUAGUCCCAGUGGGUCUCACGCCCUCUCCUGCCUGCCACAAGUACUGGAUGCACAUGCUC